RNAcentral lists this ribosomal RNA (222 nucleotides) under Listeria monocytogenes. RNAcentral's name for it is "partial 16S ribosomal RNA". It matches the Rfam family "Bacterial small subunit ribosomal RNA", at positions 1321 to 1533 of the family's 1533-position model. The record is from RNAcentral. Lineage: Bacteria; Bacillati; Bacillota; Bacilli; Caryophanales; Listeriaceae.
UGAAGCCGGAAUCGCUAGUAAUCGUGGAUCAGCAUGCCACGGUGAAUACGUUCCCGGGCCUUGUACACACCGCCCGUCACACCACGAGAGUUUGUAACACCCGAAGUCGGUAGGGUAACCUUUAUGGAGCCAGCCGCCGAAGGUGGGACAGAUAAUUGGGGUGAAGUCGUAACAAGGUAGCCGUAUCGGAAGGUGCGGCUGGAUCACCUCCUUUCUAAGGAA